AAUGACCAAAUUCAUACCUAUGUUAUUUUGUUGGAAAGUUUAGAAUUAAUUUAAUUAACAACAAAUUCUUUUCAAUGAAUUAAUUAUUAGGGUUCACAACUAAAGCAAGCCCAAGCCCAAUGUAAUGUCCAUGUAACUAGGGUUUUAGCAAAUUAGAAAAUUCAUAUAUAUAGUUAUUUAAUGAGAAUUAUGAUUGUAACUUUGAGAGUUGGAAACAACUCUCCUCCUUCAUCUUAUAAAAUAUCAAUUUAAAAUCGUUUUGUUAUUGGUGACAAGCCUAAAGCUCCUUCCAUUCUCUGUUCUUUACAUUGAUCUUGGUCUUGCUUUAGUUGUAAUCAACUUACGACGAAUUAAACAUGUGUUUUUGUAUUGAGAAAGCUACAUCUAAACUAAAAUUCACAGAAAAAACUGUAUUGAAAAACUAACUUAGAUUGGUCGUUUUAACAAGCAAAGACAUCAAGGUUGUAAGGAAAGCAUGGAGGAUGACUGUUCAAUGUGUCAUCCAAUAUCCUCUUUGCCUCAUACUUCAUCCAACGAUUAAUUUUUUCUUCUAGUUUCCUUUAUGAUGCUUUCCACUAUGGAUAUGUCUAUUUGCAUCAUUUUUUCGUAGAAACAGUACCACCACAUCCUUUUAUCUCUCUUAAUUCAGUAUCUACAAGAUACAUAAAGAGUAAUCAUAAAAC
RNAcentral lists this small RNA (683 nucleotides) under Arabidopsis thaliana (thale cress). RNAcentral's name for it is "ATSL195930". Lineage: Eukaryota; Viridiplantae; Streptophyta; Magnoliopsida; Brassicales; Brassicaceae. The record is from RNAcentral.